This is a non-coding RNA of Neurospora crassa OR74A, 898 nucleotides long. NCBI's taxonomy places the organism in Eukaryota, Fungi, Ascomycota, Sordariomycetes, Sordariales, Sordariaceae. The record is from RefSeq and is a predicted model, not a curated record.
GCCGUCUUCGACUCCCACAAUCUGCCAAUAUUGUAUGCAUAGUCCCCUAUUCACUCCAGCAAUCAACAAAGCGCUGGAGCGAAUCCUUACUUGCUCACCGCGGACCAGGCGGCCAAGGGUACCUAUUGGUUUUCACACACCUCGGUCGAUAAAGUUACUUUCUGCUGCUCACCUUAGCGCGCCAAACGCGGCCUUCUGUUUCGUUCUUCUUUAACCUCGAGACCCUUCGUAAACCUCUCACCAGCCCUUCCCGUCAGCCAUUCGCGCCAUCCGCACCCUUCUCCACUGCCACUUAUGUGCCGAUAGUCCGAUACGAGAACUACAUACACCCUACCAAAUCUGUGUUUGAAAUCUCCACUUUAGGUUACUGAGGAGCAAAAUAUUGGGAUCCCAUACUAGCAGUCCAAGAUGUCCCUGAGGAGAGAGUGAAAGAUGGUGUCCGGUAGGGAGGGAGCUUGAGGGAAUGCUUCAACUGUGGGAACCCCCUCAUCUCUUCGCAUCUUUGUGGAUGGAUGGAUGAAUAAAUACGGCGAGUCUACUCGUUUCACCGACGUCUGGUGAUAGCGUCAGCACAUACUCAGGGCAUCGGGGCUUACAACACGAGCUGUUAAGGUGGUUUAUUUCUAUAUGAUAUUGCUGUCAAGAAGGCUGCUACUUUCGGGAUAUGAUGCUGAAGUAAAGCUAUCCAAUGAGAGUCUGCAGUCCUGACACACACUCGCUUCCGGCGGUUGCGAUUGGGUGUGUGGACUCUGAUGUGGCUGGGCUUUCAGUUGUCGUAUCUGAUGAGACUUUUUCUGUGUUUUCUCUGGUGACCGGAAUCUGAUAUUCAUUAUCAUCAAAAGGUCGUAAGGUUGGUUUGAGAUAUGAGUCUUGGGGUCAAGUCGUUAUCGCUAGAACU